ACGCUCUGUUUACACAUCCACUCACACCUGUGCACCCUCUGUAGUUCUAUGGUUUGGGAGACCACCCCGUCUUCCUGCCCAUGGUUCUACGUCAUCACACACACACUGUAAUAGUCUCAUGGAAUGCAUGCCGCGUUUUACGCAACAAAAUACAACUUUCAGCAACGGAUCUCUUGGCUCUCGCAUCGAUGAAGAACGCAGCGAAAUGCGAUAAGUAAUGUGAAUUGCAGAAUUCAGUGAAUCAUCGAAUCUUUGAACGCACCUUGCGCCCUUUGGCUAUUCCGAAGGGCAUGCCUGUUUGAGUGUCAUGAACAUCUCAACUCUCAUGGGUUGCCAUGAUGAGCUUGGACUUUGGAGGUUUUUGCUGGCUUACGGUCGGCUCCUCUCAAACGGAUCAGCUUGCCAGCGUUUGGUGGCAUCACGGGCGUGAUAACUAUCUGCGCUUGUGGUUAUCCACCAGGUGUAACCUUCAGUGAUGGAGGUUCGCUGGAGCUUCAUAGACGUCCCUCCUCGACGAGGACGGC
RNAcentral lists this ribosomal RNA (524 nucleotides) under uncultured fungus. Its description in RNAcentral is "eukaryotic LSU rRNA". The stretch from base 154 to 308 matches the Rfam family "5.8S ribosomal RNA". The record is from RNAcentral. Lineage: Eukaryota; Fungi.